GAUGAAGAACGCAGCGCAAUGCGAUAAGUAAUGUGAAUUGCAGAAUUCAGUGAAUCAUCGAAUCUUUGAACGCACAUUGCGCCCGCCAGCAUUCUGGCGGGCAUGCCUGUUCGAGCGUCAUUUCAACCCUCGAGCCCCCCCGGGGGCCUCGGUGUUGGGGGACGGCACACCAGCCGCCCCCGAAAUGCAGUGGCGACCCCGCCGCAGCCUCCCCUGCGUAGUAGCACACACCUCGCACCGGAGCGCGGAGGCGGUCACGCCGUAAAACGCCCAACUUUCUUAGAGUUGACCUCGGAUCAGGUAGGAAUACCCGCUGAACUUAAGCAUAUCAAUAAGCGGAGGA
This 343-nucleotide unclassified non-coding RNA is filed under the name soil metagenome. Its description in RNAcentral is "partial contains 5.8S ribosomal RNA, internal transcribed spacer 2, and large subunit ribosomal RNA". The stretch from base 1 to 120 matches the Rfam family "5.8S ribosomal RNA", at positions 35 to 154 of the family's 154-position model. The record is from RNAcentral.